This 433-nucleotide ribosomal RNA is filed under the name uncultured bacterium. Its description in RNAcentral is "partial 16S ribosomal RNA". It matches the Rfam family "Bacterial small subunit ribosomal RNA", at positions 29 to 507 of the family's 1533-position model. The record is from RNAcentral.
AACGAACGCUGGCGGCAUGCCUAACACAUGCAAGUCGAACGAAACCUUCGGGUCUACUGGCGCACGGGUGCGUAACGCGGGGGGACCUGCCCUUAGGUUCGGAAUAACUCCCCGAAAGGGGUGCUAAUACCGGAUAAUAUCUUCGGUCCGACGAUUUAUCGCCUUUGGAUGGGCCUGCGUUGGAUUACUUAGUUGGUAGGGUAAAAGCCUACCAAUGCGACGAUAGCUAGCUGGUAAGCGAGGAAGAGCCGCCACACUGGUGCUGAGAAGCGGCCCAGACUCCUACGCGAGGCAGGAGUGGGGAAUAUUGGACAACGGGGGAAAGCAUGAAGCAGCAAUGCCGGGAGAGUGAUGAAGGCCUUAGGGUUGUAAAGCUCUUUUAUCCGUGAUGAUAAUGACAGUACCGAGAGAAUAAGCUCCGGCUAACUCCGUG